RNAcentral lists this ribosomal RNA (2330 nucleotides) under Salmonella enterica subsp. enterica. RNAcentral's name for it is "partial 23S ribosomal RNA". It matches the Rfam family "Bacterial large subunit ribosomal RNA". The record is from RNAcentral. Lineage: Bacteria; Pseudomonadati; Pseudomonadota; Gammaproteobacteria; Enterobacterales; Enterobacteriaceae.
AAGCCAGUGGUGAACUCCGCAUACGCAUCCUUUGCUGAGGAUACGGUUAACGGAGCGAAAGCGACGUUCAACCUCAAAAGAAGCAGAGGGGGCUUAGUGGUGGGGUGACUGCGUACCUUUUGUAUAAUGGGUCAGCGACUUAUAUUCUGUAGCAAGGUUAACCGUAUAGGGGAGCCGUAGGGAAACCGAGUCUUAACCGGGCGUUAAGUUGCAGGGUAUAGACCCGAAACCCGGUGAUCUAGCCAUGGGCAGGUUGAAGGUUGGGUAACACUAACUGGAGGACCGAACCGACUAAUGUUGAAAAAUUAGCGGAUGACCUGUGGCUGGGGGUGAAAGGCCAAUCAAACCGGGAGAUAGCUGGUUCUCCCCGAAAGCUAUUUAGGUAGCGCCUCGUGAAUUCAUCUCCGGGGGUAGAGCACUGUUUCGGCUAGGGGGUCAUCCCGACUUACCAACCCGAUGCAAACUGCGAAUACCGGAGAAUGUUAUCACGGGAGACACACGGCGGGUGCUAACGUCCGUCGUGAAGAGGGAAACAACCCAGACCGCCAGCUAAGGUCCCAAAGUCAUGGUUAAGUGGGAAACGAUGUGGGAAGGCCCAGACAGCCAGGAUGUUGGCUUAGAAGCAGCCAUCAUUUAAAGAAAGCGUAAUAGCUCACUGGUCGAGUCGGCCUGCGCGGAAGAUGUAACGGGGCUAAACCAUGCACCGAAGCUGCGGCAGCGACACUGUGUGUUGUUGGGUAGGGGAGCGUUCUGUAAGCCUGUGAAGGUGGCCUGUGAGGGUUGCUGGAGGUAUCAGAAGUGCGAAUGCUGACAUAAGUAACGAUAAAGCGGGUGAAAAGCCCGCUCGCCGGAAGACCAAGGGUUCCUGUCCAACGUUAAUCGGGGCAGGGUGAGUCGACCCCUAAGGCGAGGCCGAAAGGCGUAGUCGAUGGGAAACGGGUUAAUAUUCCCGUACUUGGUGUUACUGCGAAGGGGGGACGGAGAAGGCUAUGUUGGCCGGGCGACGGUUGUCCCGGUUUAAGCGUGUAGGUGUGUGUUCCAGGUAAAUCCGGUUCACUUUAACACUGAGGCGUGAUGACGAGGCACUACGGUGCUGAAGCAACAAAUGCCCUGCUUCCAGGAAAAGCCUCUAAGCAUCAGGUAACAUCAAAUCGUACCCCAAACCGACACAGGUGGUCAGGUAGAGAAUACCAAGGCGCUUGAGAGAACUCGGGUGAAGGAACUAGGCAAAAUGGUGCCGUAACUUCGGGAGAAGGCACGCUGACACGUAGGUGAAGUGAUUUACUCAUGGAGCUGAAGUCAGUCGAAGAUACCAGCUGGCUGCAACUGUUUAUUAAAAACACAGCACUGUGCAAACACGAAAGUGGACGUAUACGGUGUGACGCCUGCCCGGUGCCGGAAGGUUAAUUGAUGGGGUCAGCGCAAGCGAAGCUCCUGAUCGAAGCCCCGGUAAACGGCGGCCGUAACUAUAACGGUCCUAAGGUAGCGAAAUUCCUUGUCGGGUAAGUUCCGACCUGCACGAAUGGCGUAAUGAUGGCCAGGCUGUCUCCACCCGAGACUCAGUGAAAUUGAACUCGCUGUGAAGAUGCAGUGUACCCGCGGCAAGACGGAAAGACCCCGUGAACCUUUACUAUAGCUUGACACUGAACAUUGAGCCUUGAUGUGUAGGAUAGGUGGGAGGCUUUGAAGCGUGGACGCCAGUCUGCGUGGAGCCGACCUUGAAAUACCACCCUUUAAUGUUUGAUGUUCUAACGUGGACCCGUUACCCGGGUUGCGGACAGUGUCUGGUGGGUAGUUUGACUGGGGCGGUCUCCUCCUAAAGAGUAACGGAGGAGCACGAAGGUUGGCUAAUCCUGGUCGGACAUCAGGAGGUUAGUGCAAUGGCAUAAGCCAGCUUGACUGCGAGCGUGACGGCGCGAGCAGGUGCGAAAGCAGGUCAUAGUGAUCCGGUGGUUCUGAAUGGAAGGGCCAUCGCUCAACGGAUAAAAGGUACUCCGGGGAUAACAGGCUGAUACCGCCCAAGAGUUCAUAUCGACGGCGGUGUUUGGCACCUCGAUGUCGGCUCAUCACAUCCUGGGGCUGAAGUAGGUCCCAAGGGUAUGGCUGUUCGCCAUUUAAAGUGGUACGCGAGCUGGGUUUAGAACGUCGUGAGACAGUUCGGUCCCUAUCUGCCGUGGGCGCUGGAGAACUGAGGGGGGCUGCUCCUAGUACGAGAGGACCGGAGUGGACGCAUCACUGGUGUUCGGGUUGUCAUGCCAAUGGCACUGCCCGGUAGCUAAAUGCGGAAGAGAUAAGUGCUGAAAGCAUCUAAGCACGAAACUUGCCCCGAG